RNAcentral lists this non-coding RNA (22 nucleotides) under Arabidopsis thaliana (thale cress). Lineage: Eukaryota; Viridiplantae; Streptophyta; Magnoliopsida; Brassicales; Brassicaceae. The record is from RNAcentral.
GAUUCUUGCUGUUUCCAAGCAU